Phycodurus eques (leafy seadragon) is the source of this 7967-nucleotide RNA transcript. It is a transcript of the gene named PDZ domain containing 2, with no coding region annotated. The transcript has 25 exons. The record is from RefSeq and is a predicted model, not a curated record. Lineage: Eukaryota; Metazoa; Chordata; Actinopteri; Syngnathiformes; Syngnathidae.
AGAAAGGCUGCCAAACGCCGCUUGAUUCCCCAAAACUAUUUGAAACAUAACUUCGAGAUAAGGGCACACAAACAGCAGACGAAUCGAAUGAUAUUAUUGACGUCGGACAUGUUUGAUGUCGACUAAGAUUUGGGCGUGCGGUGCCGUUUCUUUUCCAACGCUGUGCGAAUUCGGCGUAGAUGUCGUGGAGUUUGACGCAAAAAAAAAAAAAAAGUAGAUAUAUUUUGUUUCCGAUGCGAACAUGAGCUUUCCGCGGCGCUUUAAUCUGGAAUGGACACCCAGCUUCGAAAUUCAUCGCCAUGCAGCCCAAGGUAUUCGUGGGAUGCUGCAAAAACCCAAGAAGCCCUAUACAAGCACCCCAACCAUCCUCCACAAUCUGUAAUAUUGAACACAAGUUUGAGUUUGUUUGAUAUGUACUGAGACUGACUUGUUGGCUCUAUCAUGGUGUUUUAAAGAUUCAUUUAAGGCCGUCAGGGUACACUGAUUCCUUGUGCCUGCAUGGACAUUUGAUAGCAUCAACAUUAUUGUUGGUGAGGAAGUCUCGACAGGCCUAGGAUGCCAGAAUGCCCAUAUCCCAGGACAAUGCCCUCAGUAUCCUUUCACUUCUCAACGAGUGGCUUGGAGCUCAUGCCGAAAGAUCACACCAUAAGGAAAAUUUGAAUCUGGAAACUUGUGCCAGCAAGACCUGUAACCAGAAUGGGGAUACAGAUAAAGUUUACAGUUGCAGUAAUAUCAAUAGUCUUCAUGUGGAGAACUUGCCCCUGUGUUUGGCUGCUAUCCAGAAGCUAGUAGAAUACAUCAAGUUUAACUUCAUGGAGGAUCACUCCGCUUCAUCAGCCGACCUGUCAUCCUACAACGGAGUAUCAGAUGUUGAGGUUCAUGCUAUUUCUAUCAGGAAAAAUGAAGAGGAUCCAUCAGAUUUUGGUCUGAGCUUUGGAAACAUCCCAAUUUUUGGGGAUCCUGAUGGGAAAAAAAAGGGAGGACCAAGGAGGAGAAGAGAUCAUAGCCCCAUCAUGCGCGUGGGCUGCAUCUGGGUGACUGAAGUGAGAAAAGGGAGCCCAGCCGCUUGGUCUGGCAGAAUCAGACUGAGAGAUGAACUGCUAUCACUGAAUGGACAGCUGAUGGUGGGAGUAGAUGUUAGUGGAGCCAGUUACCUGGCUGAUCAGUGCUGGAAUGGAGGCUAUGUUUACGUUGUCCUGUUGCGGCGAGUCAAGCGAAAAGCUCCUCUCCCUCCCUCUAGUGUUGAUGGUAGUCAAAGUACUUCAAUCGGUAAUGACUGCUGUGAUGACCAGCCGCAGAGCAUAACUUCCGCUGACGACAUUGACGGUCCAGUAACAGGCAAACGUACACGCAAAUUUGGUGUCAUAUCACGGUCACCCUCCAAAAGAGACAACAAAGGUGAUACUGAUGCCGAAUUUCAGAGUUAUUGUAUUGACUUCAGUUCCUCAAGCUUUGUUGAUAAGGAAGUCCGCUCUUCAAAGGAAAAAACAGGACAUAUCAUCUCCACACAUACGCCUACAGAGGAAAGUCAUGGAACUGUUCCACAUUCCAAAGUUACCCACCUUCAUUGCCACAAUGGAGGCACUGCUACACUGCCUUUAAGAAGUCACAGUCAACUAUUGGAAAGCAAAAGGGAUUCUUUCUGCAGUCAACUUUCUAACCAGCUGAGAGAGGGCUGCCACAUCUGGAAAAUCCACCUGGUGAAAGCUCAAGAGGGUUUGGGCAUACAGAUUACUGGGGGGCGUGGUUCCAAGCGCUCUCAACAUGGUAUUAACAUAGCUCGUAUUGAGGAGGGAGGAACAAUUCACAGGGAUGGCCGUCUUCAAGCUGGUGAUGAGUUGCUGAUGAUAAAUGGUCAGUCGCUAGUGGGUCUUACCCAUCAAGAGGCUGUUUCUAUCCUCCGCUCUGCUUCAGGUCUAGUCCAGCUCGUCAUUGCCAGCAGGGGGGAAUCUGAUGUAGGUUUCCAACACCACCCAUCCACCAGUUUGCCAGAUCUGUUGACUAACCUGGAGAAACUAGAGGACACAUGUCAGAGAGAAGCAGUCAGAGGAUCUUGCUGCAGUCCUGCACCCAUAAAGCUUUGCAGUCCAUCCCAGGGCAUAGGAGGUAGCAGUCGCUUGGAGUCAGUUGGUGAAGAUGAUGAGCUCUUUCUGGAAAAUGGUGUGAGCUGCUGUGAUGUUGUGGAGAAGUCCUCAAAGCCAGGCAGACGUAAACACUCCCUACCACAACAGCUAGAUACUGCUAGAGAUAGACAGGAAUAUCAAAUAAUUAAGAAAUCAGCACGUUCGUUGAGCACCAUUCAAGUGGAAUCACCAUGGCGACUUGCACAGCCAUCCAUUAUCUCCAGCAUCGUACUGAUGAAAGGCCAGGGAAAGGGCCUGGGAUUCAGCAUUGUUGGCGGCCAGGAUUCAGCUCGUGGUCAAAUGGGAAUUUUUGUGAAGACCAUUUUCUCUCACGGUGCUGCUGCUGCUGAUGGACGCCUAAAACAGGGAGAUGAGAUUCUGGAGGUAAACGGAGAGUCUCUCCGAGGACUGACACACCAACAAGCCAUCCAGACUUUCAAGCAACUCAAAAAAGGUGUUGUGACUCUGACAAUACGAACUUGCCUUCGGAGCCCCAGUCUUACGCCCUGUGCGACUCCCAGUAUUCAUAGCCGCUCCAGCUCACCCAACUCCAAUACGAGUGAGGGAACACCUGUUCCCUUUGGGAUUGAUGAGCCUGAUGGCCACAGGGGUGCUGGUCCUGGUCCAAAAGACUGCAUCAUCAUGGAGGUCACACUCGAUAAAGAGCCUGGAGUUGGCCUGGGGAUUGGAGUUUGUUUUCUUACCCCAGAAAACUCGGUUCCUGGCAUCUAUAUCCAUAGCCUAGCUCUGGGAUCUGUUGCCAAGAUGGAUGGCAGCCUCAGUCGGGGGGAUCAGAUACUGGAGGUUGAUUCAGUCAGUCUUCGUUUUGCUGCCCUCAGUGAAGCCUAUGCCAUCCUCAGUGAAUGUGGCCCUGGACCAGUCAGUCUCAUUAUUAGUCGGCACCCUAAUCCCAAAAUAUCAGAACAGGAGAUGGAUCAUUUGAUAGCUCAAUCUACACAUAAGGCCAAAAUGAACAAGAGUCGACCAUCUCAUUCCCAAGCAGGCUUUUCCUGUAAGACCGAUGGAUCACCUGCCCUCAGCUGGACAAUGAAAAGAUUUCUUGAGCCCGCCAGUCGGCAGGGAUCUCUCAGCUCAGAGAAAGAGUUGUCCCAAUACUUUUCAGCUGAUAUUUCCAGCCACUCAAUCCUGACGAAAUCAUUGGGCUCAAAUACAGACGAGGCAGACCAGCAAAGCGGCAACAUCUCUAUGGAGGACGUUGCAUCACAGCCUCCAGGAACCCCCACUUCUGCAACUGAAGUGAAAUGUGAUACCAUGCACAGUGCAUCACAAGACAAGACCUAUGUUCUAUCUAAUUAUCCUCAGGAUGCAGUCGGCCUGCCCACUGUUGUGUCCAAUCCCAUCCCAGUGUGGAGCCCACGCCUUCAUCACCAAAGGGUAAUUAAUUAUGAGGAUAAGCUGAGAAAAGAUGAGGACUCAGAAACUGGAGUUGCUGCAUUAUCACUGGAUGCAGAUGAAGAUGGUAUCAAUUGGGGGGAAUUACACACAUGUGUAAGCAAUGAUGUGACAACACCACGACGCAACGAGUAUAAGGAAGGCUAUACAAAUGCCUAUGAAAUACCUGGAUCAGAGUCACUCUUUAUGCCGAUCCGUUGCCUUUCAAAGCACAAAUCAGGUGGAGAAGAGGAUCAGUUGGUGUCGAAGCCUGAAGAUAAAGCAGCGACACUGGUCACAAGUAUGUUAUGUACUGAAGGUCCAAACUUCACUGAGCAACAAAACCCCAGUGCUACUGGGCCUCCAUUAAGUGUGAACCCAUUCCAGUUCAAUGGUACGCUGUGUGGAAAAAAAUCCAUGAUUGCAAGUGGAUGGGUAAACAAUCAGCACUGUAUGAAGGGAGGUCCAAGUGAGAUUCGGGGUGUUUGUCCUAUUGAGACGGUAACUCUGACAAGAAAUAAGGAUGAAUCCUUUGGGCUGGACCUGGAGAUCAUAUCAUCACCUCUGAAAGUUGUCAUCAAUGGGUUAAAGCCUGGAGGUGCGGCAGAAAGGGAAUCAAAAGGAGUCUUGUGUCCGGGUGAUGAGAUUGUAACCAUUGCUGAAAAACUGGUGAGCUCCUGUAGCUACCAGGAAUUAUGUGAUCUCAUGCAUAACCUUCCCACGACAUUGUCUUUGGAAGUUAAGAAACCUGUCUCAGCUGUAGAUGGGCUUUCCGCAUUGACAGUGUUCUCUGGGAGCAGUGAUGGAGCCACAAGACUCAUCCCAGACAUAUCGGAAGUAUUAAGUGCCAAGAUAGUUCACUCAAACCACAAACCCCAAAUGAACAAUGACUGUCAAACUCCAAUCACCAGCAUUGAUGAUAUUAUAUCAGAAAUUAGCCCCGUUAGUGAACCUGCGCAUUCCCCGUGCAGCACCUCUCCUCUACCAAAUAUAUCUGAGAAAGAUGAUAUUCAUGUUCCCAUUCUGUCAAGUUCACGCGACUCUUCUGCAAUGUAUACAGGAAAUGAAAAUGGGUGUCCCAAAUAUGUGAACCCACUUCUUGAAAACAACUCUACUGCUGCAAGUGGAUUAUGCCCAGAAAUAAAUGAUGCUGGUAUGCAUAAAGAGAACCACCCCAAAGGACUUCACAACAGUGAUUCCAGUGGUGACUUCACACUUGACAAUGAUGUCAAGCUCAGUAAACGAGCCAGUGGCAGUUACCAUCUUCAUGGGUCAUCCUCAAAUGGGAAGGAAGUGGAACUUAGUUCCUGUGACAAUCAAGUACCCAUUGAUGAUAGACAUAUAUAUCUCAACACACCAUCAACUAGAUCUUUGCUUUCACACCAUGGCGGUGAAAACAAAAUCCUGGAUAAGAAUAUUGAUAUGUUUCUCAGCUCCUCGGAUAUGAUCAACAAAGAAUGCUUGGCACUUUCCCAGUCGAUACGAGUCUUAGCCACAGAGAAACCAUGCUCACCUUCAAAUGCAGCAUCUGCAUCACUUAUGGAGUAUCACAUUAAUAAUGCCAUUGAGUCUGACUCUGACAAACCUAAAGCUUCUGAGGCAUGCAAUAGAAGCCUUUGUAUUCAUGGUAGCCUUUCCCCACUUGAUUACUGUCCCAAUUACAGUAGCAAUACAAUGUUGUAUUGUGGUGGCUUGCUCAACUCAGAUGUACUGAAGCAGAGGUAUUUGAAUGUACAGACAUCUGAACUUACAUCAGUAACAAACACAAACAGUUCUACCACUGACAGAUCAGCUACAGCGUUGUCAAACACUAUGAUGAACGAAGAAAAAAACUUUGUGUGUAGACCAAAUUUAAUCCCAAAUGUUAGCCCCAAUACUACGCAUCAUGUUCUAACAUUCCCUGAUCAAUGUCAAGUUGAAACUCAGAUCAGACCAGACAAUAGCCUUAAACUGAAGCAUCUAAGAAUAAAGACUUGUAACACCAGAGAAGAGCCAUUGCAAAAUCCUACCAAAAGUGAAAGUAAAUUUCUUUCAUCAAGCAAUAAUAAUAAUUCCUUCUUCAACCAGCCUACAAACCUACCGCCAGAGAAAAUAUUGUCUCCGAUUUUUAAGGCCAAAAACCCACUUAGCAACAGUGUUGCUUUAGCUAAAGCUAGUGUAAGAAAGACAGUGCAUGAUACAUCAGAUGAAACAUUUGGAACUGUAACUUCAAACAAAAAAGAUAUCAAGUUAGAUGUCAAAGCCAUAUCAAACAUCAAGACAUUGUCACACACACCUGUCACGCAAAGAACAUUUAUUGAAGUUCAGUUGUCUUCUUUAUCUGGUAUGCCACCUGUUAGGGCAACAAAGCUCAUAGUAGAUUUAAAUAACGCUACAGCAACUCAAAUAGGCACCGAUGCAAGCUCAACAACUGUGCUCCCGAAUUCCAAUUCCAUAUUAGAUAUGACAAAUGUCACUGUUGAUAAAAUAGUAUCCAAUGCAAUGCCUCUUACUAAGGAAACUAAUCUAGGCUCAAGUAAUAACUUGAACCCCAACAUGGAGACAAGUGAUACCCCGAAGUCUAGGACAUCCAAACUGUACAAGAAGACAAUGCUGAGGCGAAGUUUUGUCGCAGAGACUCCCUUUUCGGCGGACUACAAUCCCUUCUCUGUCCAACACAAGAUAAAGUCCUUUGAAAAUCUUGCUCACUUUGACAAGCCUGUGGCUAAAUGUAGUGACAUUCAGUCUUAUGGUUUGGCAUACAGGGCGUCGCUCAACGAAAGGAUUGCAGGCUAUAUGGGCAUAAUAAAAUGUUCUGACGACCGGGCACAACAACGCCAUUGUAGUUCCUAUGAAGGCAAUUUAUUCUCAACCAGACCCUGCUCAUCACUGAUAUCACAGUCAAGCAUUACUUUGAAAAACCUUGAUCCUCCAUGUGCUAGCGCCAGUGCAGGUUGCUUGACUAAUAACAGUCUUGUCUCUGAAGUUCUGAAAGUUCCAGAUGUUACACCAGAGACUCCGCCAGUGGUGCAUAGGAAAAAUGCCAGACCUUUCCGCAACCGUUUGCAGCAAUCCAGGACUCGAAGUCUGCCUGAAUUGGGAAAAAAGUUUACAGCUGACUUGUUGACCAGAAUAGAUGGUUUAGCUGAUAAAUCUGAGAGCACCAUCCUAUCCACUGCCACACAGACUGUGUGCUCUUCACCUUCUGCACUCCAUACGAAAGUAGAGAUGACAAAAGGAAACACUGGAUCCACUCAAGAAACAUCUGACAAAAACUUUGAGAUCCUGAAAAAAUCUGAACAGUCUGGACCAUCUUGGACCAGCAGAUUAAAAGAUCUAACUGCUUCUCCUGUGAGUCAGUCUAAAUUACAAGUGCUUCAGACGACUAUGAUGAACAAGCUACUCCAGGAAACGAACAAUUUCAUAGAGGGUAACAGCCAUGCUCGCCUUGUGGUCCUUCAUAAAGAGGAAGGCGCAGGACUUGGAUUUAGUAUUGCUGGUGGGAGUGACCUUGAGCAGAAGAUUGUCACAACCCCUUAUUUAUUACACUGGAUGGUGCCUACCUGAGCAUACAGUGGUCCAGUUGACCUACAAGAGAAAACUGAAAGCUCACUGGGCUUGCAGAUGAAGUUGUCUUGGGUAAUUAGCAGGAGGAACACAUUCCAAGGUGAUUUUUGUUUUUCAAUUGCCUGUAAUUUUAAUUUUCUAUAUUAACAUACCUGCAUUUUUGUACAGUUGGUAAGUUAUCCGAUAAUUCUUGCAAUAAAGGUAACAUGGCUGAGAGGCUAUUGUUUAUCAGGGAAUCCACACUCACUGUUUCGCAAAAAAAUAAAAUGCACACAUACCAACGUUGCCUAACUUAAGCUAAGGCACACGCAUAAUAUGAGAAGGAACAAAUCUAAGUAAGGUGCAACGUUUAGCUCAAUUUACUCACUGCUUUCUUCGCCUUCUGUUUGCUUUCGCCACUUCCAUUUCUUCUCAGAGUGGUCAGUUGUCACUGACGGCUGAUGCCAAUUCAGGAUAGGGAAGAACUUCAAUAUUGCAGAGAGAAAUUUGCUUUGAACUCUACAAAAUUGCUGCAUUUGCAUACAUUUUGUCACUACAGGAGAGUACUACAAACAUUAAAACAGACAUAACUACAGGCACAGCAAACAGACAUAAUAGAGUCGCUGGUAAUGUUAAUUAAUAUGGUUAAAAUAAAACAUUAGCUGCAAAAAUAUUAAGGUACUAUGAAAAUGUAUUGAUUCAAAGUAAUGCAGGCCAUUUCAGAGAUUUUUAGAAUGUAUUGUCUACUUCGGCAUACAGUUGAACGAGGUGUGUAUUUAAUAGCUAGCUAAGUGUGAUGGUGGGAAAUGAUAUUUCUGUGUCACCAGGUUCAUCGGGUCUUCAGCAAAGGUGCAGCCAGCCUGGAGGGCACAAUUCUGAGAGGUCCAAAUCCUGUUUUGAAAAUUGAGCUUCACAAGACAACUGCUG